Molecule: ribosomal RNA, 253 nt
Filed under: uncultured bacterium
Lineage: Bacteria
Description: partial 16S ribosomal RNA
Rfam family: Bacterial small subunit ribosomal RNA
Source: RNAcentral
UACGUAGGGGGCAAGCGUUGUCCGGAUUUAUUGGGCGUAAAGAGCGUGUAGGCGGCUAGGUAGGUCCGUUGUGAAAACUCGAGGCUCAACCUCGAGACGUCGAUGGAAACCAUCUAGCUAGAGUCCGGAAGAGGAGAGUGGAAUUCCUGGUGUAGCGGUGAAAUGCGCAGAUAUCAGGAGGAACACCGGUGGCGAAGGCGGUUCUCUGGGCAUGUCCUGACGCUGAGGAGCGAAAGUGUGGGGAGCGAACAGG